CUAAGAAUAUUCCGCAAUGGACGAAAGUCUGACGGAGCGACGCCGCGUGGAUGAGGAAGGCCGGAAGGUUGUAAAAUCCUUUUGGGACUGAAGAAUAAGCGGUGCAGGGAAUGGCAUCGUGGUGACGGUAGGUCCUGAAUAAGCAACGGCUAAUUACGUGCCAGCAGCCGCGGUAACACGUAAGUUGCGAGCGUUGUUCGGAAUUAUUGGGCGUAAAGGGCAUGUAGGCGGUAUUGCAAGCCUGGUGUGAAAGGCAGGGGCUCAACCUCUGGACUGCGCUGGGAACUGCGAUACUAGAGUCGCUGAGGGGCAAUCAGAAUUCCAGGUGUAGGGGUGAAAUCUGUAGAUAUCUGGAAGAAUACCAAUGGCGAAGGCAGGUUGCCAGCAGA
Molecule: ribosomal RNA, 389 nt
Filed under: uncultured Treponema sp.
Lineage: Bacteria; Pseudomonadati; Spirochaetota; Spirochaetia; Treponematales; Treponemataceae
Description: bacterial SSU rRNA
Rfam family: Bacterial small subunit ribosomal RNA
Source: RNAcentral